AGCGAACGCUGGCGGCAGGCCUAACACAUGCAAGUCGAACGAACCUUUCGGGGUUAGUGGCGGACGGGUGAGUAUCACGUGGGAACGUGCCUUUAGGUUCGGAAUAACUCAGGGAAACUUGUGCUAAUACCGAAUGUGCCCUCCGGGGGAAAGAUUUAUCGCCUUUAGAGCGGCCCGCGUCUGAUUAGCUAGUUGGUUGAGGUAAUGGCUCACCAAGGCGACGAUCAGUAGCUGGUCUGAGAGGAUGAUCAGCCACAUUGGGACUGAGACACGGCCCAAACUCCUACGGGAGGCAGCAGUGGGGAAUCUUGCGCAAUGGGCGAAAGCCUGACGCAGCCAUGCCGCGUGAAUGAUGAAGGUCUUAGGAUUAUAAAAUUCUUUCACCGGGGACGAUAAUGACGGUACCCGGAGAAGAAGCCCCGGCUAACUUCGUGCCAGCCGCCGCAGUAA
This 450-nucleotide ribosomal RNA is filed under the name uncultured bacterium. Its description in RNAcentral is "partial 16S ribosomal RNA". It matches the Rfam family "Bacterial small subunit ribosomal RNA", at positions 29 to 523 of the family's 1533-position model. The record is from RNAcentral.